ACCCCUGUGAGGAUGCCCUCAGUUUUCUCCGCCCGAGAAUGAGGAGCCGGUAUCAGGCACACCCAGCAGCCCAAGACGCCUUGCUAAGCCACACCCCUAAGGGCACUCAGCAGUAAUAAACAUUGAGCCAUAAGCGAAAGCUUGACUUAGUUAAGGCUACUAAGGGCCGGUAAAACUCGUGCCAGCCACCGCGGUUAUACGAGAGGCCCAAGUUAACAGACACCGGCGUAAAGAGUGGUCAAGGACACAACUAACUAAAGCCGAACAUCCCCCUGGCUGUUAUACGCACUCGAAGGAAUGAAGUUCAAUUACGAAAGUGGCUUUAUAUACACCUGACCCACGACAGCUAAGAAACAAACUGGGAUUAGAUACCCCACUAUGCUUAGCCAUAAACAUAGAUGUUAAGAUACAAAUAACAUCCGCCAGGGUACUACAAGCGCAGCUUAAAACCCAAAGGACUUGGCGGUAUUUCAGACCCACCUAGAGGAGCCUGUUCUAGAACCGAUAACCCCCGUUCAACCUCACCACCCCUAGUUCAUCCC
Molecule: ribosomal RNA, 542 nt
Filed under: Polyipnus asteroides
Lineage: Eukaryota; Metazoa; Chordata; Actinopteri; Stomiiformes; Sternoptychidae
Description: partial 12S rRNA
Rfam family: Bacterial small subunit ribosomal RNA
Source: RNAcentral